RNAcentral lists this ribosomal RNA (1182 nucleotides) under Sinocentrus brevicornis. RNAcentral's name for it is "16S ribosomal RNA". Lineage: Eukaryota; Metazoa; Arthropoda; Insecta; Hemiptera; Membracidae. The record is from RNAcentral.
UAAUAUUUAUUUUUUUUUUUAAAAAAAAGGUAUUUUAUUUAUUUUGUUUUUUUUAGUAUUUUUUUAAAUAAUUAUUUUAAUUUUCUGUUAAGCAUUUUAAAUUAUUAUUUUAGAUUAAGUAUUUGUACCUUUUGUAUCAGGGUUGUUUUAAUUUUAAAUUUAUUAUUAAUUUCCCGAAAUUAAAAGAUUUGAUUAUUUAUUUUUUUUAUUAUUUCAUAAUUAUUUAUAAUUAAUAUUCAGUGGUUAUAAGUUAUUCGUUUUUAAUUAUAUCUGGUUAAUUAAUAUUAAAUUUAAUUUUAAUUAUUUUGUUUAAGUUAAUUAAUUAGGGAUAAUCUUUAUUUUUUUUUAAAAUUUUUAUUUUUGUAUUUUUAUUAUGAAUUAAAUUUUUUAUUAAGUUUUUAAUUAAUUUUAAUUUUUUUUAUAUGAUUAUUUUUUAUUUAAUAUUUUAUUAAUUUGAUUUAUUUAAUACUUUCUUAUUUUUAAUAUUGAUUAAAUUAGUAUAAUUUUUUAUUAUUAUUAAAUGAAUUUGACAAAUUUAAUUCUCAACUGUUUAUCAAAAACAUUUUUUUUAGUUUAUUAUUAAAAAUACAAUCUGCUCAAUGAUUUAUUAUUAAAUAGCUGCAGUAUUUUGACUGUACAAAGGUAGCAUAAUAAUUAGUCUUUUAAUUGAAGUCUGGAAUGAACGAUUUAAUGAAGAAUAUAUUUUAUUGGUUUUAUUAUUAAAAUUUUAUUUUUAAGUGAAAAAUCUUAUUAUUAUUAUAGGGACGAGAAGACCCUAUAGAACUUUAUAAUUUAUUAAUUAAUUGGUAAUUUAGUUUUAUUUAUUUAUAUUUAUAUAUAAUUAUUUGAUUGGGGUGAUUUCUAAAUAUUAACUUUAGUUUGAUUUUUCAUUUAUAGGUGAUUAUUUUGAUCUAAUGUUUUUGAUUAUAAGAUCAAGUUACCUUAGGGAUAACAGCGUAAUUUUAAUGGUAAGUUCUUAUUUAUAUUAAAGUUUGCGACCUCGAUGUUGAAUUAAGAUUAUUUUUGGGGGCAGUGUCUCAAUUAUAUAAGUCUGUUCGACUUUUAAUUUCUUACAUGAUUUGAGUUCAGACCGGUGUAAGCCAGGUUGGUUUCUAUCUUAUAAAUUUUAAGUUAUUUUAGUACGAAAGGACCAUUUAAUUCAAUUUUUUAUUGUUAAUUUUU